Molecule: ribosomal RNA, 494 nt
Filed under: Kikihia cauta
Lineage: Eukaryota; Metazoa; Arthropoda; Insecta; Hemiptera; Cicadidae
Description: partial large subunit ribosomal RNA
Rfam family: Archaeal large subunit ribosomal RNA
Source: RNAcentral
UUAAAAGUCUAAUCUGCCCAAUGAUUAAAAAUUAAAUGGCCGCGGUAAAUUGACCGUGCAAAGGUAGCAUAAUAAAUAGUCUUUUAAUUGGAGGCUUGAAUGAAUGAUUGAAUGAGAAAUUGACUUAAUUAAUAUUAAUAAUUGAAAUUGAUUUUUAAGUAAAAAAGCUUAAAUAUGUAAGUGGGACGAGAAGACCCUAUAGAAUUUUUAAAAUCUUAUUAAGUUUAUUUUUUAUAGUUAAUUAAUUUUUUUUUAUUUAAAUGGUUUUUUUGUUGGGGUGAUAUUAAAAUAUAAUUAACUUUUAAUAAAAAUUUCAUGAAUUUAUGUAACUUUUGAUCCAAAUUUUUGAUUAUAAGAACAAAUUACCUUAGGGAUAACAGCGUAAUUAAUUUGAAGAGUUCAUAUCGAUAAAUAUGAUUGCGACCUCGAUGUUGGAUUAAGAAUAGGGAUUGGAGCAAAAUUUAUUAUUUCUGGGUCUGUUCGACCCUUAAUAU